GGACGGAAGACGGGGCUCUUGAUAAUGGGCCUGGCUGAAAGUGAGGCCCAAAUGGCCAUAGAAAAGCCCAAAAAGAGAAGCGUUCCGGAUUAGGGUUUAUGUUUGACGUCUAUAUGUACUGAUUCUCAUCUGCCGCAUUUCCCUUCUUCUCUAAUUCAAAUCUGCUUUCUAUGUUUCAGAUUCCCAAGUAGAUUCAUGGCGUUUUGUUAUUAUUAUUAUUUGCUUUGAAUUUAUCCCAAUGAAGAAAUCCUUGAAAUUGCAAGUGCCGUAUGACGCUUUGUGAAUGAUUUGACAUGGAUCUCUGAGGGAUUCUUCCUCUUAUUCUUCUCUUUUUAAAUGAAAGAAGAUUUACCGGCGACGCCAUUACCGGAAAUAGUUUUCAACUAACAAUUUCUCGUUACUUUUCACAAAGAAGGCUUUGAUCCUUCGGCUUUCUGGAUGGAAUAUAUCCGCCAUGUUGAGCAAACUCCAUAGUAUUUCUUCAAUUUAAUAUUGGAUGCUUUUAGGGUUCCAAAUUAUUAACCAGGAGGAAAUUACUCGUGUUCUUCUCGUUUUUGAAGUUAGAAUCUACUUUUGAACGAUGCGAAAGUGCUUAAAGGCUUGAACAGUGGAUUUGUAGCUUUACCAUUAUUAUUUUUUUCUUUUUUUCUCUUUUUCAAACAAUCUGUAGAAAUAAAUAAAUAAAAAAAGAGAUAAAGUCGAAGGUAGUGGAAGAACUUGUUUAUUUUUUGGGGUUAAAUUACAUUUUUAUGUGAUAAGUCUGGUGUCUAA
This is a long non-coding RNA of Benincasa hispida (wax gourd), 771 nucleotides long. RefSeq lists it as uncharacterized. The record is from RefSeq and is a predicted model, not a curated record. Lineage: Eukaryota; Viridiplantae; Streptophyta; Magnoliopsida; Cucurbitales; Cucurbitaceae.